RNAcentral lists this ribosomal RNA (215 nucleotides) under uncultured bacterium. RNAcentral's name for it is "partial 16S ribosomal RNA". It matches the Rfam family "Bacterial small subunit ribosomal RNA", at positions 1287 to 1500 of the family's 1533-position model. The record is from RNAcentral.
CCCAGUUCGGAUUGCAGUCUGCAACUCGACUGCAUGAAGCCGGAAUCGCUAGUAAUCGCGGAUCAGAAUGCCGCGGUGAAUACGUUCCCGGGUCUUGUACACACCGCCCGUCACACCAUGGGAGUCGGAAAUGCCCGAAGCCGGUGGCCUAACCGAUAAGGGAGGAGCCGUCGGAGGCAGGUCUGAUGACUGGGGUGAAGUCGUAACAAGGUACC